GGAUAUAGCUCAGUGGUAGAGCAUGUGCUUGGCACGCAUGAGGUCCUAGGUUCAAUCCUCAGUACCUCCG
Molecule: transfer RNA, 70 nt
Filed under: Camelus bactrianus (Bactrian camel)
Lineage: Eukaryota; Metazoa; Chordata; Mammalia; Artiodactyla; Camelidae
Also listed under: 1 other name
Rfam family: tRNA
About the family: Transfer RNA (tRNA) molecules are approximately 80 nucleotides in length. Their secondary structure includes four short double-helical elements and three loops (D, anti-codon, and T loops).
Source: Rfam by way of RNAcentral